Lynx canadensis (Canada lynx) is the source of this 1666-nucleotide long non-coding RNA. RefSeq lists it as uncharacterized. The transcript has 2 exons. The record is from RefSeq and is a predicted model, not a curated record. Lineage: Eukaryota; Metazoa; Chordata; Mammalia; Carnivora; Felidae.
UUUUAUUUUUGUUUAUUUUUUGCUGUCUGCUGGACCAAAACUUUUCCUACCGACAAUGCCACGGAGCCCCGUGUUGCUAGAACAAAGAGCCAAUUCUAUCUGCCACUUUCCUGAUCUAUUUGCAGCUUUUCAUACAACUGAUCGCGACCUCCUACCUGACAGACUCUUUCGGCUGGGCCGCCGGGACACGAUCCUCCUGGUUUCCUGUUACCUCACAACACAUCCAUCUGAGGCAGCAGCAGGGAGCCGCUCGUCACCACCGUUGAUCGGAGACUGGGGCUUUCAGCUCAGGAUCCUACUUGGAUGUUUCUGGUUGCCUUGGCAGAAGAGUAAAAAGCUCUAGAAAAUUAUCACUGGUAAUCAACUGCCUCUAAAGCGAAUUCUCAAAGCUCAGUGGCCAGAACUGUUCGCACGGCUUGAUACGUCCUUAAGACAGCCAGGAAGUGUCAUCCCACUCCAUUCUGAGGGCCGGGAGCUAGAAAUACGUGGUGCUGUCCUGAACACCAUGGGCUCCCAGCAGUGCUCAAGAUAGAAAAGCACAGUCCUCACACCAGCUUGUGAAGCUCUGCAUUAGCAGCCGUCGCCCCCACCUCUCUGGCCUCACCGCCCCCUGCUCUCUCCCUGCUACCAUUACCAUUGCCUCCGAGACGCCUUUCCUCUGCCUGCGUGGCUCUUCCUUCAACGAUCUGUACGAUAAUUCCUUCCCCUCCUACCCUGACCGGUUUACUUCAAAUUGUAAUCCACCCCUUCUCCGUCGCUAAUCCUCACCCUACUCUCUACACGCACACCUGCACAAAAACUUCACGAGGGCAGGGAAGGCAGGGGCCGUGUCUGUUUUGUCCACGGAUGUGCCCCCCACAAGCCAAGCCCAGAUCAGCACCUGCACAAGACAGGAGCUCAGGAAUUGUCGCUUCAGUGAAUGAUCCUCACUAGUGGUCAGGAAAAUACAAAGGAAACCCGCAAAACAUUGCUUCACACCCAUGAGAUGAUAAAGUGUACAAGUGUGACAGUUGCAAGCCCUGAUGAGGAGUUAGUGAGAGGAAACUCCUGCGCUGCUCAAGAGUGCACGCUGGGGGCAGCCACUCUGGGCAAUCUGGCACUCUGGAGUCAAGUCCAAGGUAAGUGCGAAUCAUUACGAUCUGGCAAUUUCACUUCCCGGUGUUCACCUUGAAGAACCCUCAUCCACAUAUGUGCAAGGAGCCAUGCAAAAAGAUGUUCACAACGGCAUUGCUUACAAUAGGGGGAAAAAUGGAAACAACUAGAAUUUCCAUCAGCCAGACACUGGAUAAAUGAUUGUCAUAUCCGAGGGACCAUCGUAAACCAGUUACAAUGAAUUAUUUUAGAAGUAUUGACUUCCAGUGCGAGGAGAUUGGAAGCUGCUUUCAUUCACACAGCAGGAAACCAAGCUGAGAAAUCUGAAAAUGUGCAAUUAUUUUUAGACCUGUCAGAGAACUGAGGUCACAGGGCAAGCUGCCAAAUUGGGAGAGGUGAACUCAAAGGUGCAGAGAAGCACAACUUACCUGAGCAGAAACUCCACGGGAACCAGUACCUGAGAAGGUAUUCUAGUCGACAUAUUGCUGGAGGCUCAGCGUGGAUAAGCUUGAAAGCUAAAAACUCCAGGGGCCCCUCACACUUGUGAGUUUUACCCCCAGGAGCCCUUCCAGAU